GCUCACAGACCAUGCAGGCAAAUUAUAUGACUUGCCAUUGAAAGUAACAGUGGCAUCUUUCGCCGGGUCUAUAUUAGCCAGAAAUGCUGCACACACUGAUCCAGUCUUGUAUACAUGUGCCUCCAAAUUUGAGCCAAGAGAAUUGUACGAUGGAUCUGUUGCUACCAUUGCGCUUUCACAAAGCUUAAGGGCCAUGUGUAAAUCUUUUAGGUGGCCAUACUUUGGCUGCCUCACUACCCCAUACUCAUCGAUGGGUGCAUCAUAAUCAUAACUUGUGGAAAUGAAUGGCCCCCCUGAACUGCGACCAAAGUUUGUCCCACCGUGAUACAUGUAGUAGUUCUGGAAUGUACCGCCACGCUGGUAAAAUCGAGCCACAGCAAAUGCAAGAUCUUCAACCGGUCU
RNAcentral lists this unclassified non-coding RNA (402 nucleotides) under Hevea brasiliensis (rubber tree). The record is from RNAcentral. Lineage: Eukaryota; Viridiplantae; Streptophyta; Magnoliopsida; Malpighiales; Euphorbiaceae.